AUCAUUUCUCAACCUUUUGGCUAAGAACAAGUAUAGCAUCUGUUCUAAUCUGGUAUUAAACAGAUACUGUCCUCUAUCCCAGGACAAUAAAUGGAUUUUUGAAACUAGGAGAUGGAUUAGGUGCUUGCUUCAUCCACCCCACACAUUGACCUGGUAUUGCAGUACCUUCAGGACCAGAGCAUGCCCU
This is a small nuclear RNA of Nannospalax galili (Upper Galilee mountains blind mole rat), 187 nucleotides long. Its record names the gene U2. It matches the Rfam family "U2 spliceosomal RNA". Rfam says of the family: U2 is a small nuclear RNA (snRNA) component of the spliceosome (involved in pre-mRNA splicing). The record is from Ensembl. NCBI's taxonomy places the organism in Eukaryota, Metazoa, Chordata, Mammalia, Rodentia, Spalacidae.